CCUACGGGAGGCUGCAGUGAGGAAUAUUGGUCAAUGGACGAGAGUCUGAACCAGCCAAGUAGCGUGAAGGAUGACUGCCCUAUGGGUUGUAAACUUCUUUUAUAUGGGAAUAAAACGUUCCACGUGUGGGAUUUUGUAUGUACCAUAUGAAUAAGGAUCGGCUAACUCCGUGCCAGCAGCCGCGGUAAUACGGAGGAUCCGAGCGUUAUCCGGAUUUAUUGGGUUUAAAGGGAGCGUAGGUGGAUUGUUAAGUCAGUUGUGAAAGUUUGCGGCUCAACCGUAAAAUUGCAGUUGAAACUGGCAGUCUUGAGUACAGUAGAGGUGGGCGGAAUGCGUGGUGUAGCGGUGAAAUGCUUAGAUAUCACGAAGAACACCGAUUGCGAAGGCAGUUCACUGGACUGCAACUGACACUGAGGCUCGAAAGUGUGGGUAUCAAACAGGAUUAGAUACCCCUGUAGUC
RNAcentral lists this ribosomal RNA (460 nucleotides) under uncultured bacterium. RNAcentral's name for it is "partial 16S ribosomal RNA". It matches the Rfam family "Bacterial small subunit ribosomal RNA", at positions 338 to 795 of the family's 1533-position model. The record is from RNAcentral.